RNAcentral lists this ribosomal RNA (278 nucleotides) under uncultured bacterium. RNAcentral's name for it is "partial 16S ribosomal RNA". It matches the Rfam family "Bacterial small subunit ribosomal RNA", at positions 335 to 609 of the family's 1533-position model. The record is from RNAcentral.
GAUCCUACGGGAGGCAGCAGUGAGGAAUAUUGGUCAAUGGGCGGAAGCCUGAACCAGCCAAGUCGCGUGAGGGAAGAAGGCCCUGCGGGUCGCAGACCUCUUUGGACGGGGAGCAAGGCCGCCGACGUGUCGGCGGAAGGAGAGUACCCGUAGAACAAGCAUCGGCUAACUCCGUGCCAGCAGCCGCGGUAAUACGGAGGAUGCGAGCGUUAUCCGGAUUUAUUGGGCGUAAAGCGAGCGCAGGCGGUUGGAUAAGUCUGAAGUUAAAGGCUGUGGCU